Non-coding RNA from Pelobates cultripes (western spadefoot toad), 473 nucleotides. The record is from the annotation of a GenBank genome assembly. Lineage: Eukaryota; Metazoa; Chordata; Amphibia; Anura; Pelobatidae.
CAUUUUCUGAUAUUUAUAUCAAGCCAAAACCAACAUCUGGGCUCGGAAUGUCUCAUUAAUCAUGAGACCAUGGAUCACAAAAAUUGGAAAAUCUCGGCAAUACGACAAAGAAUUUGACAAGGUUCACAAACAAAGGAAUUGAUAGUGAAUGAACGUAUGUCUUCUUUGGAAUCUGACAUCAAAGAAACUGACAGCUGAAACGAAAUCUAGGAGUAUUCUAUGACAUUACUAAGAAAGUGAAGGCAGAUAUAUUACUAAUCAGUGUGAACAUUUCUUGUGCAGUGGCAUAUACAUGUUAAUUAACUCUUUUCUACUGAGGCAGGCAUAACAUUAUCUGAAACAAAUGAUGAAUAGCUAGCAUCAGGACUGAAUUUACAUGUCAAGAACCUGUCCCCUGCUCCCCAAACCCAUCAAAAAGCAGAUGCAUAGGAAUAAUGAAUUUAUUAAAUGGACAUUGCAGGCCUGAAACAUCA